RNAcentral lists this long non-coding RNA (6305 nucleotides) under Homo sapiens (human). RNAcentral describes it as "HSALNT0272183". The record is from RNAcentral. Lineage: Eukaryota; Metazoa; Chordata; Mammalia; Primates; Hominidae.
CAGAACAGAUGAUGCGUUUGGGCAUAACACACUCCAGUUUGUUCUUCUGGCAGUUUCUCUUCUCAAUUUCAAGGCUUUCACAGUUUUGCUGCAACUUAUCCUUUUAAGGGGCUCUUCUUCUCCCAUUUCUCCAUUGACUGUUGGUCCAGAGAGCACAUCACCACCUUCUGCUAGCUAUGCAAUGCUCUCCAUCCUACAGGACUCACAUCCAGUUUGCCUAUCUUUACCAAGAGCUUGAUGAUUUGAACCACUGACUGAUUGCCCUGUACUUGGAGGAUGUGAGGAAGCAGAAUUGAGCCAAUAAAGAGAAGAGGAAGAAGGAGCCACAGAACUGAGUGGGAUGUCCCCUGAGCACUCCUUGGUGGAGCAAAAGUCUUGCAAGUCUCUAGUGCGCUGGGCAGGCUGAGGGCGUUCAGCCGAGAACACAGCUCUGUAAAUACAUCAGCGAGGAUGCAUAUAUACAGUUUCCCCAGUGCUCCCUCAGACCCUUGGAGGCUGGGCUACUCCAAGCUCUGUUUCCUGCAAAAAAAUGGAGUAAGUCCUGUGGAGUCUAAAUACACAUUCCCUCUGCAUUAUACCCACGCCUCGACUUCAUUAUAUCUAGGAGCACUGAGACAAAGAGAUUUAUAACAAACUUCAUCCAAGCCAAGAAUGAAACACGGCAGCCUCCAUGCAGCAGGAAACCCAUUGAUCUGUUUCUUAUAAGCAUGUGGUUCUAUGCUGUUUUUCUGCCAAAGCUUUUCCCUGCCUCCCACUUGAGGAGCAUACACCAGCUGAUUCUGCAGAUUGACUCUACAUCAUUCUCUGUCAUGAAGCCAUGGCAUGUGUUUAUGCGUCUGUAACAAAGCGUUUAUAUUCUGCCAUCUGCAUAAAAACUGCUGAAGGACAUUUCAGCAAGAAUCCCUAUGGUUUAUGCAGCUGCAUGUUGAACAUGAAAAUCUAAGAUAUGACAGUGGUCUUUCAUUCAUACAACCUUUGAAUUUUGGUAAAGUUCUGAUGUAAUGUUAAAGAGUGGUAUUUUGAGGACUACGCAUCAAGAUAUAAACAUGGCACAUCUUUUAUAAUAUCAGCCACUGGAAGACAUUUGAAAUAAUAUUUGUAUAAUUGUGGGCUGUAUUAUCUUUCUUUCUUGCACAUAAUAAAGUUUCACUGGAAGUAAACUUUUCAAGUAUCAAUUUUAGAAUUCCUGAUUCAUCCUAAGCGGUUUUGUUCUUUUUUUACAGGUGAAAUCAUACUUAAAAGUUGUAUGUAUGCAGCUGGAGAUACGUGCCUUUGAAAUCCUUUCAUAACCAAUAUUCUAAUCUCCUAUUUAAGUAGGGUAAAUAGGCCAUUUAUCCUCAACAUCUGAUACAGCUGUCUACAAUAUUAAAACAUUUAGCAAUACCAUGAAAUUCGGAGAAGAAAUGUAAUGUUUUCUACCCACUCAGGCCAAUAUUUCUAAAGCUAAUGUGGUGGGAAGAUGCGUGGUGUUACCCAAACUAUUCACAAUUAUUUCAGAAAAUUUGGAAACAGAAGAAAAUCAUCCAUAAUUUUGUCACCCCAAUUUAACAAAUCAUAUCUUUAAAUACUGUCUCUUAGUCAUUUGUGCGUAGUUGCAUCCUUGCAGUCACAGAGUAUGGCCUAUACUUUUUCACUUUGUAUUACAAUGCAAGUCUUUUCAUUCUGCUGCAUAUUCUUCAUAAGCUUUAUUAAUGGCUGCCUUAGCAGUUAUUCCAUCCACUAUUCACUAUUUUGAGGUUAAUUUUUUAUUAUAAUUAAUGUAAUGAUGAAUAUCUUCUUACACAUAGACUUUUUAAUUAUUUUUUUUUUAGAAUAAAAUUCCAGGAAUUAAUUAGCUGGCUUAAGUAACACAUACAUUUUAUUGCUUAGAAUACAUUAUAAAACUACUUUCAAAAAUAAUUAUUUCAUCUUGUAAGGGUAUACAAGUACAUUAUCAUUUAAUAUUUUAGUAAAUUAAGUAAAAAUUUAGGUCUUUGUUUUACUUGAUCAUUUCUUUUGAUAACAGCUAGGUUUGACACUGUUUUACAUCUUGUCCACUGUUUGUUAUUCAUAUUGAGUGAAUUUUUUGUUGUUGCUCUGGACUGGUGAUAGUUUCUAAAUGAGGAUCUUAAUUUCAAUGAAGAUAUAAGUAAGAUAUAAAAAAGUGCACAAAAUUAUAUAUCUUUUAAUAAAAACUCUUUGUCAAAAUGGUUUAUUAUAUAAUUUUUACCUUACUGACAUUCUGAAGUUUAAAACCAUAACAAAAUAUAUAGUUAUUCAUUUAAAAAAUCCCUUCUGUGUUAUUUCCAAGUUUAAAAAUUAGUCUUCUUUUUCAGAUAGUUGAUACAUAACUAUCCUGUUUCUGAGUUUACCCAUUUAAAUUUAUGUAUUUAAUGCUUCGCUACAUGUGUUAUUUUAUUUGGUAUAUUUUUGCAUCAAAGUUUAUUUUUUCUAAGUUUUAAAUAUUGGUUAGGCCGAAUUAUCUAAAUGUGGCUUAUUAAAUAAUCCUCAAUUUUUAUAUUCUUUUGCUAUGUCUCCUUUACAGUAUAUAAAAUUCUAAUAUACCUGUUCUAUUCCAAUGACCAAGGUGUAUCUUUUUGUACCAGACAUACCUCAAUUUAAUUAUUACUGAUUUUAAAUAGUUUUGAUACCUGGUAGAACUGAUGAAUCUCAUGCCUUAUAUUUAAAGACAAUUGCUCAUUGCAAACCUUCUCAUCUACUCUCCCCCAAACCCCACUACUCACAAUUUUCCUUAACCCCACCCAGAACAGAGAGUUUAAAUAAAGGCCCACACAGCUCCUGGCAAGACCUCCAUUACCCGCAUCCCCAGCCACAUAAACUCAAUACUGCCCAUUUAUCCUCUACAAUGGCCUAACAUGCAAAGAUAUAGUAUAACCUAUUGUUCCCCUUCCACUCAGAUAGCAUCAAGACAAAUUCCAUCAAGCCUCACAUCCCUCUGUCACCAUGAGAAAGACAGGUUUCCUUAUUGUAGACCUUUAAUUCUGGAAGGCUUUGCACAUCGAUUUGUUAAUUUUCCAAAAGUUCCCCACCCCCUUCACUGUGCUCAGUGGAACACAGUCUGUCACCGCACCCUCUUUCCCUGCCUCCACCAUGCAACUCCUGCUUUCAGAAUGAAAGUUCUCCUCUGACCCUGUCUGUUUUCUCAAGAAAUGAGAUCUGUUGAGAAAUCACCUGCUGAGAGUGAGAAGGCUGAGGGGAUUUUUGAGUUUUGAGAUGAAAGAAUAAUGCAUGAGAUGGUUAACUCAGGAAGUGGAAAGGGACAUUCACAUCACCUUUUUACUCUAAUUAAAAUCUGAUUUUCCAGGAGAGCAUGGCUUCCUCAGCAGCACUACCAAAGCACAGCUAUUCUUUUUCUUCCACAUCCUACCACCUAUAGGGCCAGGAGGUGCUCAGGCUGUUCAUAAUCUUCAUAGCCACUUUUCAAGCUAUUAUCUAUUCUUACUCUUUAAAACCUUUUGUAGCAUAUAUGCCAUGUUGGUUUUUUUUGUUGUUGUGUGUUUUUUGUUUUCGUUUUUUUUUUUUUUUUGAGAUGGAGUCUUGCUCUGUUGCCCAGGCUGGAGUGCAAUGGCGCGAUCUUGCCUCACUGUAAACUCCACCUCCCAGGUGCAAGUGAUUCUCCUGCCUCAGCAUCCUGAGUAGCUGGGACUACAGGCCCACAGGCGCCUGCCACCAUACCUGGCUAAUUUUUGUAUUUUUAGUAGAGACGGGGUUUCACCAUGUUGGUCAGGCUGGUCUCGAACUUCUGACCUCAUGAUCCUCCCACCUCGGCCUCCCAAAGUGCUGGGAUUACAGGUGUGAGCCACCAUGCCCAGCCUACCAUGUGUUCUUUUCUAGCACAUAUGCCAUGAAAAAAGAAGAAUACACCGUGCCUUUUUUUUUUUUUUUUUUUUAACAGAGUAGGUGCCUUGCUAUUUUGCCCAAGCCAGGAUCAAACUUGAGAUCUUCCUGCCUUAGCCUCAGUAGUAGCUGGGGUGAUCUUAUACUACUUUCUACUCCUUCUUGUUAUCAAUAUCUGUGGUGUGUCCUACCCCAAACUUUCCUUCACUGAAGACUUAACAUCUGGCCCAUGGUCUCUCUUUCCUCCACAACUUCUCUUAUCGUUCUUGUGAUUUCAACAUCCACCUAACCCUGCCUCUCAAGUCCCUUGACUAUUUUUCCUUCAAAAGUCUCUUCACCCUUGUUGUUGGCAAUAAUAGUGCUAUUUUGUAAAUCUUAAUUAUAAAUCUGACCACCACCCUUUAGUAUCUUUCUAGAAUACUCAUUCCACUGCAUCUUGGACCUCACCUGGAUUUCCAAUUUACUAAUGGCCAUUUUAAAGGAAUUCAAACUGAUGUCACCUCUUUCCUGUCAUGGUGUCCUUUGUUAUUCAGCACUGAUUUAUGGGCCAUCACUAAAAUUACUCUUUUGCACCUAUUGUCAAUAUUCUUAUCUCCUUCUCCAUUGCCUGGCAGAACCCCAACCCUUAUUAAACCCAACACUUUGGUUAUCCUGGAUCAAUAUCUAGGAGCUUAAUGUGACUAAAGAAAAAUGCACAAUGAUGCUGAAUGAUUUCACUUUGAGUAAAUGACCAUUUUCAUAAGUGUUGUGGUCUUUGGCCUUGCUCAGAAGCCAUACAUUUCUUUAGACAUUUCACACUCUUCAUUUUCUGAGAUUCCUGUUUCAUGCUUUUUUUUCUUCUUAACCUCAAAUACCUCCUCAGUUUUUUUCACUCUCAGCAGAAGACUUGCUUCUUAUUUCACUGAGAAAAUUGGCACGAGCAAAAAAGAACAUCCUUUGACCACCAAGUCUACAACUCAUUGAAACUGUGUUUAUGUACUUAUUGCCUUACAUAUGCUGUACAUAAAUAAAUUGUCUCUGAUCGUGCUGUACAUAAUGAAUUGUCUCUGAUCCCAUCAAAGGCUAGCCCCUAUACUUGUGUACCAAAUUCCUUUCUUCCUCAGACUUAAGGACACUGAUUUCCAACAAUCCCUUCUAUCUUCUGUAUUCAUCAGUUUCCCCCUUUAUGUUUACCAUCAGUGUACUAGCAAAAUACAAGGCACUACUAUCUGGAUUUCUCAAUAAGAAAAACAACAACAACAACAAAACCUCUUGACUUCAUGUCCACCUCAGUUUUCUCUACCCAUUUUAUAGCAAAAUUUUGUACUUGCUAGCUCUACUUCAUCAUACCCAUAAAUUUUGUCUGUAGCAUUAAUUCUGCAACCACAGUUAAUAUGACAUCAAAGAAGGUUUUCUCAGUUCAUGUUUGAAUUCUCUGAUUUGUACUAAAAACGUCUGCCUGGGCGAAGACUUGACUACAUUAAUGUAUCCAUUUUGUUUCCUUCCAGUGUCUUCAAGGUGAAGGCAUCUUCAUAGUCACAAUAUUAUUAUAGAGAAUCUUUCCAGUAUGAAUUUUUGAUGUGUAAAGAAGUUACACAUCUGAUGAAGAUUGUUUUUAAUAUUCAGUACAAACACAGAAGUUUUCUUUAGUAUGAACAUGAGCUUGUGAUCUCUAAAAAGGUUUGAUGAGUACUCAGAAGUCUUCUCAUGUCAGUGCACAUACUAAUAAGGUUUCUGUCAUGUGUGAAUUCAGUGAUGCAAAUGGGGUAUUUAUUUCUUAAUGAAGUAUUUCCAAGAGACUUGAAAGACUACAGGCCAGUUGUUUUAUUGAAUGUUCCCCAACUUGGGUUUGUCAGAUAUUUUCUCAUGCUAAGAUUUAGGCUGUGAUCUUCCAGGUGGGACCUACAUACAUGAAACUGUGUUGUCCUCAGAGUAACACACUCAAAGGUCCAUGAUCUUUAUCUGUCCUUUAGUAACCGUAAAGUUACUAUUUUUCACCUGAUAACUGACAAGAAAUCUGGUGGACACUUUUAAGACCUGCGAAUAUCCUUCUCAGCACAUUCUCCUCUAGAUUUAGCAUCGGUUGAUGAUUUUUGGCUAACUCUUUCUGUAUGAUGGUCUUAAAACAAUUCUUUUCAAUUCUAUAACUCCCUUCUACAUUUAUUCUUUGACAUUCUUCUGUUAGGAAGAGCCCCAUUCCCCUCUCCAAUUGUUUGUCUACCCUAUCUAUCAUCUAUCUAUCUAUCUAUCUAUCUAUCUAUCUAUCUAUCUAUCUAAUCUUCUAUUAUCUAUCUAUCUAUCUAAAAAUCAUUUCACAGGACUCAAUAAUAUACGUCAAAUCUCAUUUUUCUUGAUGGCACUGAAAUCUCUUGCUUUCCUUUUGUUAGUAUUUGACUUUUAUAUCUUUGGCAAGCCUUUUGUUACAGUUUUACUAUAUUAUUUUCUUUCAGAUGUGUAUAUCCCAAACCUGCUUUUAAAAAAAAGGGUUA